UGAGGAAUAUUGGGUCAAUGGACGAGAGUCUGAACCAGCCAAGUCGCGUGAAGGAAGACGGAUCUAUGGUUUGUAAACUUCUUUAGUGCGGGAACAAAGCGGUGUCGUGACGCCGGAUGAGUGUACCGCAAGAAUAAGCAUCGGCUAACUCCGUGCCAGCAGCCGCGGUAAUACGGAGGAUGCGAGCGUUAUCCGGAUUUAUUGGGUUUAAAGGGAGCGCAGGCUGCGAGGCAAGUCAGCGGUCAAAUGUCGGGGCUCAACCCCGGCCUGCCGUUGAAACUGUCCUGCUAGAGUUCGAGUGAGGUAUGCGGAAUGCGUUGUGUAGC
This 326-nucleotide ribosomal RNA is filed under the name uncultured Parabacteroides sp. RNAcentral's name for it is "bacterial SSU rRNA". It matches the Rfam family "Bacterial small subunit ribosomal RNA", at positions 355 to 679 of the family's 1533-position model. Lineage: Bacteria; Pseudomonadati; Bacteroidota; Bacteroidia; Bacteroidales; Tannerellaceae. The record is from RNAcentral.